UACGUAGGGGGCAAGCGUUGUCCGGAAUUAUUGGGCGUAAAGAGCGCGUAGGCGGUCCGAUAAGUCGGCUGUGAAAGUCAAGGGCUCAACCCUUGGAAGCCGGCCGAUACUGUCGGACUAGAGUCCGGAAGAGGCGAGUGGAAUUCCCGGUGUAGCGGUGAAAUGCGCAGAUAUCGGGAGGAAAACCAAUUGCGAAGGCAGCUCGCUGGGACGGUACUGACGCUGAGGCGCGAAAGCGUGGGGAGCGAACAGG
This 253-nucleotide ribosomal RNA is filed under the name uncultured bacterium. RNAcentral describes it as "partial 16S ribosomal RNA". It matches the Rfam family "Bacterial small subunit ribosomal RNA", at positions 524 to 776 of the family's 1533-position model. The record is from RNAcentral.